RNAcentral lists this long non-coding RNA (4192 nucleotides) under Nicotiana tabacum (common tobacco). RNAcentral's name for it is "long non-coding RNA (NTAB_LNC013148)". The record is from RNAcentral. Lineage: Eukaryota; Viridiplantae; Streptophyta; Magnoliopsida; Solanales; Solanaceae.
CAGAGAUGUGAAAUCCGGGAUUUCAUACCCUCAGGACAAUAUUUACAAUCAUUACUCACUUCUAUCCGGUCCAAACUCUAACCCGCGAUGCCCUUGCCUCUCGAAUCGGCCUCUGGAUGCUCCAAAUCUAAUCAAAAUCAGUGCAAAACCAUCAAAAUAUGCUAAGGGAACAAAGUCCACUCGAAAGAAAUCAAAUUACAACACAAAUCCCGAAAUUGGCCAAACCCGACCCCCAGGCCCAUGUCUCAGAAUCCGAUAAAAAUUACAUCAAUAGACUCCUUAUCACUCCCCGAGUUCAUUCAUAUCAAUAGCACCAAAAUCUAACCCCAAAUGACCCCUCAAAUCCCAAAUUCUAGGUCUCCAAUUACAAGCCAGAAUUCUUUAAUAUCUAGGCUUAAAUUCUACAAAUUCCAUGAUUAAUUAGGUAGAAAUCACAUUAGGAUUGAGUAUUAAGUCCAUAAAUCUUACCCAAGUGUUCCCCCUUGAUUCCUUCUUCAAUCCCCUUCCAAAAGCUUCAAAAUCACCCCAAAAUGGAGGAACUUAGACCCAAAAUCACGGAAAUGAGUCUUUUAAACAUUCUGCCCAGCACUUAAAAUUCCUUCAUUGUGAACGCGGUCAACACCUCGCUUUCACGAAGCAAAACCUGACGUUGACCACUUAUUCCUUCUUCGCGAACGCGUCUCCCCUCUCGUGAACGCGAAGACUCAGUUUCACAACCCAUCGCGAACACAACUUCCCUCUUGCGAACGCGUAGCUCAAUGACCCCAACCCUUCGCGAACGGGGGACCUCCUUCGCAAACGCGAAGGCUAAUCCUCCAACCUCACACCCUAACCCUUCGCGAACGCAAAGGCCAAAAGUCUGCAACAGUCACAGCAGAUUUUCUGCGAUCUUUUUCAACUUGAAAUGGUUUGUUUAAACACCCGAAACUCACCUGAGUCCCUCGGGACCUCAACCAAACAUGCCAACAUAUCCCGUAACAUCGUUCAAACUUGUUCCAACCUUCAGAAUGCUCAAAACAACAUCAAAACACCAAAUUUGUAUCGGAUUCAAGCCUAAGAAUUCUAAAACUUUCAAAUUUCUCUUUCGAUCAAAAAGCCUAUCAAACCAUGUCCGAAUGACCUGAAAUUUCACACACACAUCCCAAAUGACACAAUGGACCUAUUGUAACUCCUGAAAUUCCAUUCCGAUCCCUAUAUCAAAAUCUCACCUAUUAACCGGAAAAUGCCAAAAUUCCAACUUCGCCAAUUCAAGCCUAGAUCUACUACGGACUUCCAAAACCCAUUCCAAUCACGCUCCUAAGUCCCAAAUCACCUCCCGAAGCUAUCUGAACCAUCAAAAUUCAUAUCAGAGCCCUAUUUCACAUAAGUUCAUAUCUAGGUGACUUUUCCAACUUAAGCUCACUCAAAAGAGACUAAGUGUCUCAAACCUCACCAAAACCUUUCCGAACCCAAGCCAACAAAUUCGAUAACACAUAAUACCGAUAAACAUAGCAAUAAGAAGCGGAAAUGGGGGAAACGGAGUGGUAAAUCCUGAAACAACCGGCCGAGUCGUUACACCCGCGUAGUUCGUCCAGUUUUGACAUAAUUGGAAAAAACAUGAUAUGGACUCACUUUCAUUUUGAAACACAUUUUCUUUCAAAAAAUCUUGGCAGAGUUUUGAGGUAUUUUCAAAUACCGAGGUUCUCAGAACCGGGUGAAUUUUCUAUCCUGCCUCACUCUUGGUUUUUUUGUUGAUUAUUUUUCCUUAGCCGGUCAACGUGCAAGCCAAAGUAAAUAAAUGUACAAAUAGCACGGAAGGUGCAUCAGGAGGGUCUUUUAUUUCGGGUACACCUGUCCUAGACGGGCCCAACCCCUGUGUCGAGUCCCUUAAGUCAAAUAGACGUGAUGCAAACAAACGUACCUACUAGGGAUCCAGCAUGAGGCUAUGUUAUUCUAGGUUUAAACCUUGGAAUUUGUUCUAGACAUGACUUACCCAAGUGGACAAUGGGAGCGACGUACCGGGAGCACGAAAGUCUACCUCGCCUAGUGGCAGAUCCAUCCUCGUUCUAUUUGGUACGACCUCUAACAGAAAAGCGGGCCACACGAAUGUGUGCACCAUUUUUUAGAAGACUCAGAAGGGAGGCGUAAGAAAACAGUUUAAUACAGUUCAAAUAAUAUCAAAGCGGUAGCGUCAAUUAGCACAUUAGGCCCACAAAAUACAGUAAUAUCAACAAUUAAUAAAGCCAAGUAAAAAUCACAUUAACAAGCUCGAAUUCUUGAACCCUGAACCAGAGAUUUUGGGUUCUAUCCCCAGCAGAGUUGCCAGAGCUGUCACACAUCCUUUUUACCCGAAAAGGAUAGGAAUAGGGAAUUUUUUCAAUUUAAGUGACAUUAAUCAAAAUGGGAUUAUUUAUUUAUUUUCAAAGUCGUCACUUGGGAUAAUUUAUGGCGUCCCAAGUCACCGAUUCAUUUAAAUCCCAAAUCAAGGAAUUUUGACCCCGUUUAAAGUCUGCGAAACCAGAAAAACUAGGUAAGGAAUUUUGUUUACCCGAGAGAAGGUGUUAGGCAUUCCCGUGAUUUCAGCAUGGUCGCUUAGCAAUUUAUACUUGGCUUAUUUUGUCUAAUUACUCAUUUUAGGACCUAUAGUUAUUUUACCUUUUAUCACUAUUAAUUAUUUGGUAAACCGUAUUUAAAGAAUUAACUUAAGAUAAGUUACGCGUAUGUAUACUCAUUUAGUUUAAUGUUUUAAGAAUCAUGUCAUGUGUACGUGUACACAAUUCAUAACACUUAAUUAUUUAAGAAAAAAUUUGGUCAAAGUCGCGCGAACACGUACCUUGAAUUUAUUUGAAAGAACCGUAAUCACAUCAUGAGAACAUGUACGCAAUCAUGAUAGUAGUUUUAAAACCCGCGCCUAAAGCAUUUCUACUAGUAUUUGAUUAAGGCGUUCUACUUACUAAGAAUGUUUGUCCAUGGUCACGCGAACGUGUACCUUGGUUUUAAGUUUAGAAAAAUCAUAAUUAUGUUACGCAAAUGUAUACAUAAUCACGAUAAUUUGAUUAGUUAAAGGAGUGCCCAUUUGGUCAAUAAAUUUACUACCCCAAUUAUCCCUAACAUUGUAACACCAUUCUAAAGUCCAAAUUAACAAGGUAAUGCCAGAACCCAAUUCUGGUUCCUUCUUAAAACGCACCACGAAGUUAUAGGUUCAAAAAUGAUUUAUUAAUGCCACUGCCCAUUUGCAUUAAAUUAUGACCCAAAUCUCUUUAAUCCCAAGUGAAAAACUCAAGACUUACUUAACAGUUAACUGGACAAUAAUUCAUCAAUUUCUACAAAUAUUCUUAAACCACCAACUAAUAUGGUUAAAGAACGUGAAAAAACAGCAGGAACACAAAAACACAUGCAUAAUUCCAACCACUACACAGUAGGCUACUUCAUACAAUAAUUUUAUCAAAAUAAACUCAACCAACAACUAAGCACCAGCAAUAUAUCAAUAAAAGAGAUCAAAACUAAAUAAAGAUCAGACCUUUAUUGCUUCACUGUAAAUCAUCUAUAAUAGCAAACUACGAGUGUUUGACCAUACCUCGACCCAAGACGACGACCUCGACAUUGACCUCGCUGGACUUCCUCAUCUUAAGAGAACAACGGCAAUGAAUGGAGGUGUAGCUACGGCAUUUUUAAGGUUGAAGAAAGAGGGUUUAGUAGUUGGUUUCAUGUUGCAACACAGCUAGUUUUGGGUGGCUCUAAUGGCUGGGUUUGGGACUGUUUUGAUGUGAGGUUUUGGACUAAUUUUUAGCAGAUUCACAGCUUAUUUGCUACUCUCUUGGGCUGGAGUUUGCAACUGAUUUGGGACUAUUAUGGGGAGGUUUCAGGUGACAUCCUUUUUCUCUCUGUUUUUUGACUGUUUCGUUCCUCCCCUGCUAUGUGCCUAAGUUUUCUGUCUGACUAUGGGGACACAAAGAAAAGAGGAAAGGUUCCACCCAGCAAAUCGUGCCCUCCCCUUUUUCUGUAUGUUGUGUGUCUAAGAGAACAGAGAGAUCCAGAGCCUUUUUCUUUUGGUCUGCGGCUGAAGCUUUUUAUUGCAAGAAUGGGGGUUCGAGGAAUUAGCUUCAAAAAAAAUGUGUUCUCUGCCUUUCGUUUUUCUGUUUUCCGUCCCUAUCUUCUAUCCCCUGUUUUUUUUUCUCCUCUAAUUGUGUAAUGAAUGUGUAGAUAUAGGGAU